This is a long non-coding RNA of Triticum aestivum (bread wheat), 705 nucleotides long. RefSeq lists it as uncharacterized. The record is from RefSeq and is a predicted model, not a curated record. NCBI's taxonomy places the organism in Eukaryota, Viridiplantae, Streptophyta, Magnoliopsida, Poales, Poaceae. The transcript is spliced from 2 exons.
GAACUCCAGCCACGCUAUUCAUCGUCAGAGUCGUCGAGGAGGCGGAUGCCAGGCACGGCCCGAGCGCUGUUGGGCCCCAAGUUCUCUCGCGGGCAGUGCGGGUGGUCGACAGCGGGCUGCGGUUGCUCGACACUGUGAAGGCGGAGGCCACGAGGCGCCAGCGAGUGCCAGUGUGCGGCGAGGGCGCCGCGGCGGCGCGAAGCCGGGCGAGGCCUGGUGCAGGGUGGGCGCGCGCGAGGGUGGCCUCGGCCUGGCGCAGGGGCCCGACCACGGGUGUGGCGCGGGCACGGCCGUGCGGCGGGGGCGCUUUGGCGCGACUGCAUCAACAUCGACGACUGCGGCGUCGGAGGAGCCGCUCAUGACGCGCAUGCCGAAGGGCGACCCUGUAGAGGGCCGGCGCCACCGAUCCGCGCGGAUGCGCGUUUCCGUCGCGGGACGCGAAGCCGGUGGUUCCGGUCGCCCAGUCAAGCGCGGGAUCGAGGCCAGACGCUGAUGGCAAGAUGGCGAUGAGCGCCACCACCAGUCCAGCGAAGAUGGUAAUGAAGAAUCGAAGUGACAGUUAGAGACCGAGAGAUUUGUCGUCGUGGCCGUGCACGGCGCGAAGAUGCCGAUUGGAAGCACUUUCGCCGGGCUGAGGAAAGCAUGCUGAUAACGUGUUGAGAUGUAAACGAGAGACAAUCGAAUAAAUGAUUGGACUGUGGAUUC